AUACGGGAGGCAGCAGUGGGGAAUUGUUCGCAAUGGGCGCAAGCCUGACGACGCAACGCCGCGUGGAGGAUGAAGACUUUCGGGUCGUAAACUCCUUUCGACCGAGAUGAAUGUCCCUCGACCCAACACGUCGAGGGAGUGACAGUAUCGAGGGAAGAAGCCCCGGCUAACUCUGUGCCAGCAGCCGCGGUAAUACAGGGGGGGCAAGCGUUGUUCGGAAUUACUGGGCGUAAAGGGUUCGUAGGUGGCCAACUAAGUCAUACGUGAAAUCCCUCAGCUUAACUGGGGAACUGCGUCUGAUACUGGUUGGCUUGAGUGCAGGAGAGGAACGCGGAAUUCCAGGUGUAGCGGUGAAAUGCGUAGAUAUCUGGAGGAACACCGGUGGCGAAGGCGGCGUUCUGGACUGCAACUGACACUGAGGAACGAAAGCCAGGGGAGCAAACGGGAUUAGAUACCCCGGU
RNAcentral lists this ribosomal RNA (461 nucleotides) under uncultured bacterium. RNAcentral describes it as "bacterial SSU rRNA". It matches the Rfam family "Bacterial small subunit ribosomal RNA", at positions 339 to 791 of the family's 1533-position model. The record is from RNAcentral.